RNAcentral lists this ribosomal RNA (530 nucleotides) under uncultured bacterium. Its description in RNAcentral is "partial 16S ribosomal RNA". It matches the Rfam family "Bacterial small subunit ribosomal RNA", at positions 355 to 895 of the family's 1533-position model. The record is from RNAcentral.
UAGGGAAUAUUGCACAAUGGGCGCAAGCCUGAUGCAGCAACGCCGCGUGAGGGAUGACGGCCUUCGGGUUGUAAACCUCUUUUAGCAGGGAAGAAGCGAAAGUGACGGUACCUGCAGAAAAAGCACCGGCUAACUACGUGCCAGCAGCCGCGGUAAUACGUAGGGUGCAAGCGUUGUCCGGAAUUAUUGGGCGUAAAGAGCUCGUAGGCGGUCUGUCGCGUCUGCUGUGAAAUCCCGAGGCUCAACCUCGGGCCUGCAGUGGGUACGGGCAGACUAGAGUGCGGUAGGGGAGAAUGGAACUCCUGGUGUAGCGGUGGAAUGCGCAGAUAUCAGGAAGAACACCGAUGGCGAAGGCAGUUCUCUGGGCCGUAACUGACGCUGAGGAGCGAAAGCGUGGGGAGCGAACAGGAUUAGAUACCCUGGUAGUCCACGCCGUAAACGUUGGGCGCUAGAUGUGGGGACCAUUCCACGGUUUCCGUGUCGCAGCUAACGCAUUAAGCGCCCCGCCUGGGGAGUACGGCCGCAAGGCU